GAUGAACGCUGGCGGCGUGCCUAAUACAUGCAAGUCGAGCGAACAGACGAGGAGCUUGCUCCUCUGACGUUAGCGGCGGACGGGUGAGUAACACGUGGAUAACCUACCUAUAAGACUGGGAUAACUUCGGGAAACCGGAGCUAAUACCGGAUAAUAUAUUGAACCGCAUGGUUCAAUAGUGAAAGACGGUUUUGCUGUCACUUAUAGAUGGAUCCGCGCUGCAUUAGCUAGUUGGUAAGGUAACGGCUUUCCACGGCGACGAUGCGUAGCCGACCUGAGAGGGUGAUCGGCCACACGGGAACUGAGACACGGUCCAGACUCCUACGGGAGGCAGCAGUAGCGAAUCUUCCGCAAUGGGCGAAAGCCUGACGGAGCAACGCCGCGUGAGUGAUGAAGGUCUUCGGAUCGGAAAACUCUGUUAGUAGGGAAGAACAAAUGUGGAAGUAGCUAUGCACGUCUUGACGGUACCUGAUCAGAAAGCAACGGCUAACUACGUG
This 497-nucleotide ribosomal RNA is filed under the name uncultured bacterium. RNAcentral describes it as "partial 16S ribosomal RNA". It matches the Rfam family "Bacterial small subunit ribosomal RNA", at positions 28 to 507 of the family's 1533-position model. The record is from RNAcentral.